This 425-nucleotide ribosomal RNA is filed under the name uncultured bacterium. RNAcentral describes it as "partial 16S ribosomal RNA". It matches the Rfam family "Bacterial small subunit ribosomal RNA", at positions 354 to 796 of the family's 1533-position model. The record is from RNAcentral.
GUGGGGAAUCUUGCGCAAUGGGCGAAAGCCUGACGCAGCCAUGCCGCGUGAAUUAUGAAGGUCUUAGGAUUGUAAAAUUCUUUCACCGGGGACGAUAAUGACGGUACCCGGAGAAGAAGCCCCGGCUAACUUCGUGCCAGCAGCCGCGGUAAUACGAAGGGGGCUAGCGUUGCUCGGAAUUACUGGGCGUAAAGGGCGCGUAGGCGGACAGUUUAGUCAGAGGUGAAAGCCCAGGGCUCAACCUUGGAAUUGCCUUUGAUACUGGCUGUCUUGAGUACGGGAGAGGUGAGUGGAACUCCGAGUGUAGAGGUGAAAUUCGUAGAUAUUCGGAAGAACACCAGUGGCGAAGGCGACUCACUGGCCCGUUACUGACGCUGAGGCGCGAAAGCGUGGGGAGCAAACAGGAUUAGAAACCCUUGUAGUCC